RNAcentral lists this ribosomal RNA (494 nucleotides) under uncultured bacterium. RNAcentral's name for it is "partial 16S ribosomal RNA". It matches the Rfam family "Bacterial small subunit ribosomal RNA", at positions 28 to 523 of the family's 1533-position model. The record is from RNAcentral.
GACGAACGCUGGCGGCGUGCUUAACACAUGCAAGUCGAGCGAUGAAAGCCUUAUGAACUAUUCGUAGUGAUUGGGGCCGGAUUAGCGGCGGACGGGUGAGUAACGCGUGAGCAACCUGCCUUAAACAACGGGAUAGCCUCGGGAAACCGGGACUAAUACCGUAUGAGACCCCGCCUUCACAUGAAGAAGAGGUUAAAGAUUUAUCGGUUUAAGAUGGGCUCGCGUCUGAUUAGCUAGUUGGUGAGAUAAAAGCCCACCAAGGCAACGAUCAGUAAGCGGCGUGAGAGAGUGAACGGUCACAUUGGAACUGAGACACGGUCCAAACUCCUACGGGAGGCAGCAGUGGGGAAUAUUGCACAAUGGGGGAAACCCUGAUGCAGCGACGCCGCGUGAGCGAUGAAGGAAUUCGUUUCGUAAAGCUCUGUCCAAGGGGAAGAUAAUGACAGUACCCUUGGAGGAAGCCCCGGCUAAAUACGUGCCAGCCGCCGCCGUAA